Molecule: transfer RNA, 139 nt
Filed under: Penicillium steckii
Lineage: Eukaryota; Fungi; Ascomycota; Eurotiomycetes; Eurotiales; Aspergillaceae
Rfam family: tRNA
About the family: Transfer RNA (tRNA) molecules are approximately 80 nucleotides in length. Their secondary structure includes four short double-helical elements and three loops (D, anti-codon, and T loops).
Source: Rfam by way of RNAcentral
GGAGCCGUGGCGCAACGGUAGCGCGUCUGAUUCCAGAAAUUGGGAUCUCCAGAGUAAGCAUCCACUUGUCAAACUCGGUCUUUAGAUUACCAUCUAACAAUCGCUACAGAGGUUAAGUGUUCGAAUCACUUCGGCUUCA